Molecule: long non-coding RNA, 751 nt
Organism: Oryza sativa Japonica Group (Japanese rice)
Lineage: Eukaryota; Viridiplantae; Streptophyta; Magnoliopsida; Poales; Poaceae
Source: RefSeq, a predicted model, not a curated record
UGGACAAAGCUCAUGGACGAAAGCGUGGGCGGUGGAAGUGUCCUCCAGCGACGGGCGGCGGACGAUGGGCGAAAUCGGUUAACGACGGGUGAAAUCGGUCGGAGGCGGCGAUGGUCGCGGGUCGCCGACGUCCUUUGCGCCGAGCCAUGGAGAGGUGAGGUGCUCCCUUCCCCACCCCGCCCAUGAAUCGGCGUCGACAUCGACAGGAUCUCUUGAGGAGGAGGGGGCGGUUGACGGCGGGAUGCGGGGAGGAGCUUCCGGCUGCGUUGACCACACCCUGAUUCCUCCCUCGAAGGAUCUGGCACGGAUCAGGCCUCCCAUCGCUGCCUCCCUCCCACAGCGGUGGCGUCAUGAUCUGUGAUGCACGAUGAUAAUGAGGUCUGCACUCGUGCCGGUCGGCAGCAGGCGCUGGAGACCCUGGCCACGCAAAGCAGGCAUGGGGAUGGCGGUCAGGAUCGAUGGAUGGAUGGAUGUUCAAUUCGUGGCUGUGGGAUGCCUCUCUAGAUGUUCGUGGGUGAUGGAUAUCUGUCGAUGGGAGACCUAAGGAUCUAUAGUGCUUUGUCGGCUCAACAUCGAUAUGUGGCACUAGCGCCGUCUUGUUUGUUGGAUUCGUGCAUGUAAUAGUAAUUUAGUUACUAAGAGACAUUGAGAAUCAUCGGUGUAAUAGUAACUUGGUUUCUAAGAGAUUUUUUUGGCAAUAUCAAUAUGUUAUGUUGAGAUUGGUGUAAUAGUAAUUUAUUUACUAAGAGAA